RNAcentral lists this transfer RNA (88 nucleotides) under Candidatus Terraquivivens tikiterensis. Its description in RNAcentral is "Aigarchaeota archaeon NZ13_MG1 tRNA-Leu". It matches the Rfam family "tRNA". From Rfam's summary of the family: Transfer RNA (tRNA) molecules are approximately 80 nucleotides in length. Their secondary structure includes four short double-helical elements and three loops (D, anti-codon, and T loops). Lineage: Archaea; Thermoproteati; Nitrososphaerota; Candidatus Wolframiiraptoraceae. The record is from RNAcentral.
GCGGGGGUUGCCAAGCCUGGUCAACGGCGCAGGACUGAGGCUCCUGUCCCGUAGGGGUUCGUGGGUUCAAAUCCCACCCCCCGCACCA